RNAcentral lists this ribosomal RNA (334 nucleotides) under Escherichia coli. RNAcentral describes it as "partial 23S ribosomal RNA". It matches the Rfam family "Bacterial large subunit ribosomal RNA", at positions 2031 to 2364 of the family's 2925-position model. The record is from RNAcentral. Lineage: Bacteria; Pseudomonadati; Pseudomonadota; Gammaproteobacteria; Enterobacterales; Enterobacteriaceae.
ACUCAGUGAAAUUGAACUCGCUGUGAAGAUGCAGUGUACCCGCGGCAAGACGGAAAGACCCCGUGAACCUUUACUAUAGCUUGACACUGAACAUUGAGCCUUGAUGUGUAGGAUAGGUGGGAGGCUUGGAAGUGUGGACGCCAGUCUGCAUGGAGCCGGCCUUGAAAUACCACCCUUUAAUGUUUGAUGUUCUAACGUUGACCCGUAAUCCGGGUUGCGGACAGUGUCUGGUGGGUAGUUUGACUGGGGCGGUCUCCUCCUAAAGAGUAACGGAGGAGCACGAAGGUUGGCUAAUCCUGGUCGGACAUCAGGAGGUUAGUGCAAUGGCAUAAGC